GCCCGCCACGCCGCGCGCUGUGUGUUUCAGCGUCAGAGCCGCGAUCCGCGCAGACAGUCACCUUCCAGAGGCCAGCUGGUACAGCCAGCCUACUGUAAACACUGGUGCGAGACGGCGUGUGCGCCCCGCGGCCCGUUAGCUGGAGAGCCGCCAGGCCCUGAGGACGGCCGGGCCCUCACUGCCCGACAUGGACGGCGCCUCGCCCCGACUGCUGCUGCUGCCGCUGGCGCUGCUCGCCGCUGCCGGCCCCACAGGCUGCAGCGCCUCGCUGUGGGUAGUCCACAUGGGUCCCUGUCCGCUGGUCCUAGGGGGAGACUGCCCGGAUCCAGCAGUCCGUUUCUUCCUCUUCACUGGUUCAGGUGAUGAUGCUGACCGAGUGCAGGUGGAUGGCUCGGACAAUUGGGCGGCCCUCGACGGUCCUUGGUUCGACCCUUCGCUGCCAACCAAGGUGAUUGUGCACGGCUACAACUCGGGCAUGGACAUCCAGCCGCUCGCUGCCAUUAGGAACGCCUACCUGCGCCGCGGCGGCCACAACGUGCUCUCAGUGGACUGGACGGCGCUGUCCCCUGGGCCCUGCUACCCCAUGGCGGCGCACAACGCACGUUUCGCGGGCCGCUGCCUCGCCAGGCUGGUUCGCGCCCUGACCACGCGCGGCGCCACCGAUGUGCACGUGGUGGGCUUCAGCGUGGGCGCCCACGUGGCCGCGUACGCCGCCAACAGCCUGCGACCCUACCGACUGCCACGCAUCACCGGUCUGGAUCCGGCGCUGCCGCUGUUCGUGACUGCGAACCGCGACCACAAGCUGGACGCGAGCGACGCGCUCCUGGUGGACGUUCUGCACACCAACGCGCUGGUGCAGGGCAAGCUGGAGCGCUGCGGGCACGCCGACUUCUACCUCAACGGCGGCGUGGACCAACCCGGCUGCGGCGAAACCUCUGACCGGUUCGGCUGCUCCCACCACCGCGCGCCGCUGUACUUCGCCGAGUCUGUGACGGCGGGCCGCGACGCCGGCGGCGGCUUCUGGGGCUGGCGCUGCGGCGGGCUCAGCCUCUUCCUGCUGGGCCUGUGCCCCGCCCGCGGCGACCAGGUGCCCAUGGGCGAGUUCCUCGACCCCAGGCAGGAGGGCUUCUUCGUGGUGCAGACGGCGUCGUCCCCGCCGUUCGCGCUGGGCCGUUGGCGCUCUAGCGACCCGUACCGCCAGCACACGCAGCCACUGCCCGUGGCGCUGCCUGCGGGAUCUGCCGACGACUGCGAAGACGAAGACGCUGGCCGCCUCCUCCGCAUGCUGCUCGGCGACCGCGAGCCCGAGCUCGUGUUGCUGCCCUGACUGUCCACCCUGCUCUGCUCUACAGUCUGUCUAGUCCCACACGCGGCUUCAGCUGUUUUCUUAGACAUAGGCCGCAUCUACAUGUCUCCCCUACAUCCAAGCCGUCAUUAGCGUGCUCUGGCGGUGCACCGUUCAACAUCCACAUACUUAUUGACGUGUUACACGUCAUGCGUAUUUCCGGCCGACCUUCCCGCUUCACAGAUGCAAGAUGAAAGGCUCUGCCGCCAGAGGACUCUGAACUGAAUCAUGUAACAUGGCGGUGCGUAUCGUAACUAUCUCGACACAUGAGAAACAGUGUGCUGUAAUCGAGUUUCUAACCACAAAAGAGCUCGUUCACACGUGGAACACACUUUUCUUAAGCAUGGUAAAGCCCCAUCACACACGAGUGUUUCGACAGCUCCAACAAUCCGACGCCUUGCGUCACUGGAGAAGAUGGUUAUUGAAAGGGGAGGUGAUAGUGGAGAGAGAGAGA
Molecule: RNA transcript, 1799 nt
Organism: Schistocerca piceifrons (Central American locust)
Lineage: Eukaryota; Metazoa; Arthropoda; Insecta; Orthoptera; Acrididae
Gene name: phospholipase A1 member A-like
Exons: 9
Source: RefSeq, a predicted model, not a curated record